GAACUCAAGUAUAGAUUUUUCAUCCUUUUUAGCGAUGCCCCUCGGCUUCUGGAUUUGUGGUUAGAUGGCCGCUCCUGUUGGCACCUGUGACAAGAAUUUCUGGAGGACACAGGGAGAUGGGUGUUUGCGCUCCGGACUGUGGACUUGUUCAUCAGCUUCUGAUCUACACCUUCAGUCUCCACCAUAAAUGUGUCCCGGAUGAACUCCUAAACUCCUCCCUUCCACUCUGCUCUUCUCAUUGCUCCGUGUAUCACAGGCCACCCCAGAUGCAGGAAGGCGGCUUAUGUGAUCGUUCUCUGUGUCCUCUCCCUCCCCGACUCUAGGCUGAAACGAUUUAACAUGCCCCAAGACUUCUGAAGUGAACCGGUUUAGAAACUAUUGGUUUAGAAAUUGUGUUUGAUUGAUCUUGUGAUAUUAAGAAAAGAAAAAAAAAAAAAGAAAAGAAA
Molecule: long non-coding RNA, 446 nt
Organism: Meriones unguiculatus (Mongolian gerbil)
Lineage: Eukaryota; Metazoa; Chordata; Mammalia; Rodentia; Muridae
Exons: 3
Source: RefSeq, a predicted model, not a curated record